UUACUACAACCGACACUCAAGUUGGACAAAUGGUAUGUUUUGUUGUUUCUUUUUUUUAAUACUUGCUUUUUGUGUUUACUUUAUUUUGUUUAUAUGCAUUCAUUAUUUUCUUAAAUGCAUGCAGUUUUUGUUGCGUUUGCUUCAAGCUUUUUUAUUUUCAUGUUUUUUGUUUUCUGUUCUUUGUUGUGGAUAUAGAAAGUGCCAGAGAGCGUUGCUACAAGCUUGAACAUCCCUAAAGAAGGGUUGGCUUGUGUUCGUCUAAGCAGUGGGGAGGCAAAGACUCGUGUUGAAUACAGCACGUCUACUGAUGGACGUAUAGCUUUCAACAAAAAGCAGUGGAGGCGUUUCCUUUCAAAGACUACCCUGGAAAUCAGUGACUGCAUCUUCAUGUUCUUCAAGGCCAGCAGCAAGUCUUGCAUGAAUGUUACUGUUGUCGUCAGCAAGCUUUAAGUUUCACUUUCUUUUUCGAGAAGCUAUGUUCCUAGUUAUGUAGUAUGCUGAUGCAAAACAUCGCUGCGGUCUUUUGUUUAUGCGGUUGACAAGAACCAAGUAACCCCCCCGGCUCGUCGUUUGCGAUGUUUAUUAUCUAUGUGUGUUUCAAAACUAUGUGGAAUAUGUGUGUUCUCGUAAUGAUAAGUGAUGUUAUAUAUUUUUCAUCAGUAUGUUUCUUUAGGAGUAAAGGCGUUUACGUUUUUUUAAUGUUUU
RNAcentral lists this long non-coding RNA (705 nucleotides) under Triticum aestivum (bread wheat). RNAcentral's name for it is "long non-coding RNA (TAES_LNC018844)". Lineage: Eukaryota; Viridiplantae; Streptophyta; Magnoliopsida; Poales; Poaceae. The record is from RNAcentral.